This 389-nucleotide ribosomal RNA is filed under the name Draconarius himalayaensis. Its description in RNAcentral is "partial 16S ribosomal RNA". The record is from RNAcentral. Lineage: Eukaryota; Metazoa; Arthropoda; Arachnida; Araneae; Agelenidae.
CUCAAUGAAACUAAAUAGCCGCAAUAUUUUGUGCUAAGGUAGCAUAAUCAUUUGUCUUUUAAUUAAAGACUAGAACGAAAGAUUCAAUAUUUUUAUUUCUUUCUAAUAUAUAAUUAUUUAAUUUAUUUUAAAUAUUAAAAAAUAUUUAUUCUUAAAGAAGACGAUAAGACCCUAUUGAACUUAACUAAAGUUAAACUGGGGUAGUUAAUUAAAUAUAAUUUUAAUUUAAAUUUCAAAAACAACCUAAUACAAUUAAAAAUAUCAAGUUACCAUAGGGAUAACAGCGUAAUAAUUUUCCUAAGUUCUUAUUAAAAAAAUUGUUUGCGACCUCGAUGUUGAAUUAAUAAUCUAUUAAAUGCAAUAACUUAAUAAGAAAGUCUGUUCGACUU